RNAcentral lists this ribosomal RNA (303 nucleotides) under uncultured bacterium. Its description in RNAcentral is "partial 16S ribosomal RNA". It matches the Rfam family "Bacterial small subunit ribosomal RNA", at positions 507 to 807 of the family's 1533-position model. The record is from RNAcentral.
AGCAGUAGCCACGGGAAUACGAAGGGGGCUAGCGUUGUUCGGAUUUACUGGGCGUAAAGGGCGCGUAGGCGGACUGAUAAGUCAGGGGUGAAAUCCCAAGGCUCAACCUUGGAACUGCCUUUGAUACUGUUUGUCUUGAGUUCGAGAGAGGUAAGUGGAACUGCGAGUGUAGAGGUGAAAUUCGUAGAUAUUCGCAAGAACACCAGUGGCGAAGGCGGCUUACUGGCUCGAAACUGACGCUGAGGCGCGAAAGCGUGGGGAGCAAACAGGAUUAGAUACCCCAGUAGUCCCUGUCUCUUAUAC